RNAcentral lists this ribosomal RNA (253 nucleotides) under uncultured bacterium. Its description in RNAcentral is "partial 16S ribosomal RNA". It matches the Rfam family "Bacterial small subunit ribosomal RNA", at positions 524 to 776 of the family's 1533-position model. The record is from RNAcentral.
UACGUAGGGGGCAAGCGUUGUCCGGAAUUAUUGGGCGUAAAGCGCGCGCAGGCGGUUUCUUAAGUCUGAUGUGAAAGCCCACGGCUCGACCGUGGAGGGUCAUUGGAAACUGGGGAACUUGAGUGCAGAAGAGAAAAGCGGAAUUCCACGUGUAGCGGUGAAAUGCGUAGAGAUGUGGAGGAACACCAGUGGCGAAGGCGGCUUUUUGGUCUGUAACUGACGCUGAGGCGCGAAAGCGUGGGGAGCAAACAGG